RNAcentral lists this ribosomal RNA (253 nucleotides) under uncultured bacterium. RNAcentral describes it as "partial 16S ribosomal RNA". It matches the Rfam family "Bacterial small subunit ribosomal RNA", at positions 524 to 776 of the family's 1533-position model. The record is from RNAcentral.
GACGUAGGGCGCGAGCGUUGUCCGGAUUUAUUGGGCGUAAAGGGCUCGUAGGCGGUUUGUCACGUCGGAUGUGAAAACCCGAGGCUUAACCUCGGGCCUGCAUUCGAUACGGGCUGACUAGAGUUCGGUAGGGGAGACUGGAAUUCCUGGUGUAGCGGUGAAAUGCGCAGAUAUCAGGAGGAACACCGGUGGCGAAGGCGGGUCUCUGGGCCGAUACUGACGCUGAGGAGCGAAAGCGUGGGGAGCGAACAGG